CCUCACUCCCGGUGCCGCCCCCGCCCCCACCUUCUCCCUCACUCCAUAGCCCGCGCCCGCGUUCUUCCUCCCCCAUCUCGUCUCAUCUCCGGUCGCUGCAGAGCAGCCCCGUUUCGCACCGCCACCAUGGUUGGCCUGCAGCGAGCAGCAGAGGACCUAGCCGCCGCGUCCGACCUCAACCGCCGCCCGAAACCCUAGCCCCUCCUUCCAACGGCAGGUCAAGCCAGCAGGAUCCCCUCCAAGAACAGCAUUUGAUGCGUGAGUGCAUCCCCUUCUCUUCUUCUUCUUCUUCUCGAUUUGAUGUGUGCGUGCGUGCUGUUGUGUGCAGGCCCGACUCAUCUCUGCUUGUGCACAACAAGGAAGGCCAUGGAGACGCUGCUCCCUAUGUUCAGCGCGUGGACGGACGAUGCAGCGUUGGGGAUGACUCAUGGCUGCCUCCGUUUGUGCGGUUUGCUACGAUCUAGCGAUGGGGAUGCAAGGAGAAGCUGCUACAAGCUGCUGCGUCCAGUUACACUUUUUCCAUCAUCCACUGCGGCCUUGCUGUUCUAUUCCUAUCACUAACAUUUUCAUGAUCCCUCACACAACAUGAUUUCCAGUACAGUAGUCUCAGUGUGUUGAGCUGAAAUGUUGAAUGAUGAAUGCAGACAGUAUUGCAACAUGCAUCUUUUUGAACAUGCAGGAAAAGUGUACAAGGACAAUGUCAGAAGUGCAUAUACCAUGUGACGCUAGAAUUAUUGCAUCCGAGUUAUGGGAGAGAAAUUGAUGUCUGGACUCUGGAGUGCCGGAGUGAUCUUGUAUAUUCUUUUAUGUGGUUCACUGCCUUUCUGGGUAGAACAUAUGUGGCUCAAAGAAGGUGAUGUAUUAGACAGACCUAUCGAUGGCGGAGUCCUAUUAAGAUUUAAGAAUGAAGCAAUUCAAGGCGAUGAGCAAGCUAACACAACUAGCUCUUAAGAUAAUUGCAAAGAAACUAUCACCUGAGGAAAUCAAGGGCCCAAAACAUAUGUCAAUUACAUGGACACGGUUGAAGAACCGUCACAGUUGAGGAACUGAAGGCUGGUUUAAGAAAGUUAAGUUAAAAGAUUAAUGAAGCAGAGGUUUAGAAGCUUAUGGUAGUAGUAAGAUCAUUGUUUCUUCACUCUUCGCCAUAAGUUAGGUACUCUCUCUGUAAACAAAUAUAAGAGCAUUUAGAUUGCGAUCUAAAUGCUCUUAUAUUUCUUUACAGAGGAAGUAAUGAAGAUUUCACUGACCAUGCUAUGAUUCAGGUUGUGUAGGCAAGAGUGGCAGCAUAGAUUACACUGAAUUCCUGACUGCCACGAUGAAUAUACAUAAGCUGGAAAAGGAGGAUGAUUUGCGGCAACAGUGCAAACCAUGGCGCUAAAUGUGUGCUGACAGCGCACCAGGGAGCUGCUGGCUGGCAGAGAUUUCUCACGGAAGCAACACAUAUGACAUAUCUUUGAUUCCUAUGGCAAUUCUCUCGCACUUGUUCUAUGAAACGUGUGGUAGUUCUCUUCUCUGCAUGUGGCGUGGUGGAGUUGUGGAGAAGGGAAGUGGAGGCGAGGUGACGGUUCUCUGAAUUUAGCUAUGACCCUUCCUCUCUCUGUUGUUUACAUCUUGAUCUGACAUGUUACUAUAUAUGCAUCCAUGCUGUCAAAAUCUAUGGUGUGCACCGCCACCGCAUAAACAAAUGAGUGGUCCACUAUGGUGAGUAUAGAUGCUUAAUCUGAGGGCCCACCUUAUUUUCGAUUGGGCGGGGUAGGUGGAGAGGGUGCUUAAUCUGAGGGCCCACCUCGACCUCACAUGGAGAUCGCUUCUAUAUACUUGAGUUCUGUCAUGGCCACAUAUAAUCACAUAAUAUCAUCUCUCAGAAUGUCCCCUGUUCGUCAUGGAUUGCACAUCUUGGUCAUAUGCACCAUUUGUCUUGCGCAUCAAAGUCUAGGAGGUCGACUCGAUGACCAAAAGGUUUCGCCAUCUCACUUCAACGACUCAAACACUUAUCUUUUCACCGCUUGGACAAUAUGUUUGUCUAACUUCUAUUUCAAGAGCGAUAUGUUCCUUCUACUUCAUCUUGUGCAAUAGCUUACAUGAGCUUAAUUGCCCAUCUUGCAUCAGAUGUAGUAUUUUGACUUGCAAACACUCUAGCCUCUAAUUAAACAACGAUAAUCAAACUGCAGAGAUAUACUCUUCAAAAUACAGGAUAACUAUUAUAUGAAUGGGCCUGUUAUAGGGAUUACAAAUGCUACAAUCUGUCUGCAGUUUUACAAGUAGAUAUGUGGAACGGUACAUGUAUUUGUGUUUCCUACCAUGUUUGGUGCCAUUCACUGAUCCCUUUGGCUUACUGAGAAAUUACUGGAACACUUCCAUCUAUGUGAAUUAGUUCAACUAGAGAAAUUAGGCUCUUUCAGAUCUAGGUACUUAAUAUCAUGCAUCAAGUGGUCGAAUCAAGCAUGUUGUCAACAGUAGAGUGGUGCCGGUUCUUUGGUUGAUAAGAUUGUUACUGUCCUAAAUAAAUACUGAAGUUCAGUACUAGCUCCAAUGUGAGUAGUUGAAUUACUGAUAAUGGAGGUAAUUCAGUGGUUAGCUAAAAAUGAUAAGGAUUUGAUGCAUUCACUCCCCCAUCUCAUGAUGAGGGAGAAGAGUAGGGAACACAUAUGUAUCUCAUGGCUCCCGAUUUCAUACAAAUUGAUGCAUUCUCUUUUGUAACCUGAAUGCUAGAGAAAAUUCACAACAAGGUUUUCUAUUAGAUAAAAAAAUCACAACAAGGUUGAAGUAUCAUGCAAAAUGGUGGCUGAUUUUUUCAUCUCACAGUUCAUACUUUUGAUAAUAUUUUGCAAGAGUGUGGUGGUUGUACGUGUAAUCCUUGAGUUUCCUUAUUUAUAUUUUGCAAAUUAAUUAACAUUAUGCCAUUUCACCAUGUUCGUCAAAAAGCGAAUUUUGGAUUUACACUAUCUGUUCAAUAGUUCAAUGUCAGUCAGGAGAUAAAAUGAUGCAUUCCCCUUUUAUGUAGCAAUCAGCAGCGUGCUCGUAGCAACACACAUGCAUUGUGACAUGUUGCUCGUAGCAACACAUAUGCAUUGCACUCAUCUGCUUUUUCAGUUGUAAAUAAAUUACUUGUCCUGUUCCCUCCUGUCUAUAUAUGAACAAGGUUUUAUAAAUUAUGUAUUUGAAUAUUUACAGAUCAACAUAACGGAUCAUUCCUUUUCGGUUGUAAAUAAAUUACAUGGCCAACUGCCUCCGGUCUAUAUGUGAAAAGGUUUCAUAACUUCUUUAUUUGAAUAUUAUGAUAAAAGAUAAUGUCUACUGACAUUUCUUUCAAAAUAGAAGUACUUUUGUUGGUUUGUUACAUGGCGGAUGGGAUCAUUCACCAACACGCUCAACCCGAAGAUGCGUCCCGCGCUGAAGAGAAUGAGUGUUCCUACAUUUUAGACAGUGUCCAUAUCGCAGAGAUUGUAGCAACAUGCAAAUCUUGGGCGAGGUGUCCCUUUCAUGGUCAUAUUGUAUUUAGCAUGCUACUAGGGUUCCGGAACAAGCAUCAAAAUGUUUUUGUUGUACCCAGUAACUAGAUUAUCAUUAGUAACAGUAGAAUCUUACAUAAUAUUUGUAUUGCCAAAUGUAUUCCUUGUUUGUUGUGGUGCUUA
This is a long non-coding RNA of Triticum aestivum (bread wheat), 3635 nucleotides long. RefSeq lists it as uncharacterized. Lineage: Eukaryota; Viridiplantae; Streptophyta; Magnoliopsida; Poales; Poaceae. The record is from RefSeq and is a predicted model, not a curated record. The transcript is spliced from 5 exons.